Molecule: ribosomal RNA, 440 nt
Filed under: uncultured bacterium
Lineage: Bacteria
Description: partial 16S ribosomal RNA
Rfam family: Bacterial small subunit ribosomal RNA
Source: RNAcentral
CCUACGGGGGACAGCAGUAGGGAAUAUUGCUCAAUGGGGGAAACCCUGACGCAGCAACGCCGCGUGAAGGAUGCAGGUUUUCGGUUUGUAAGCUCCUUUUGUUAGGGAGGAUAAUGACGGUAUCUACCGAAGAAGCACCGGCUAACUCCGUGCCAGCAGCCGCGGUAAUACGGAGGGUGCAAGCGUUACUCGGAAUCACUGGGCGUAAAGCGCGCGUAGGCGGGAUAGCAAGUCAGGUGUGAAAUCCUAAGGCUUAACCAUCGAACUGCACUUGAAACUGUUAUUCUAGAGUAUGGGAGAGGUAGGUGGAAUGCUUGGUGUAGGGGUAAAAUCCGUAGAGAUCAAGAGGAAUACUCAUUGCGAAGGCGAUUUGCUAGAACAUAACUGACGCUGAGGCGCGAAAGCGUGGGGAGCAAACAGGAUUAGAUACCCGUGUAGUC